Molecule: long non-coding RNA, 286 nt
Filed under: Cyclopterus lumpus (lumpfish)
Lineage: Eukaryota; Metazoa; Chordata; Actinopteri; Perciformes; Cyclopteridae
Description: lncRNA (ENSCLMG00005014274.1)
Source: RNAcentral
ACGUUGUGACUGGAAGAAGUGCUUUUCUUGGGUCGGGAAGAAGGGAACAGGACACGUUUUCAAGGAUGCUCAAGCUGGCGUGAGGCUUCUUGGGCGCAAAGACUGCGCACAGAAGCCAAGAAACCACAGCAUCAGACUGAAGGCCUUGGCCUUGCUUGAGCAAUCCAAGGAAAAUCAAGAUAGAGUUUCCAACACACCAGGGCUUAAAUCGAGUAAAGAAAUACAAGGUAUUUUACAAAAGUCAUAAUAACUCUUUUGUACUGUCUAUAUAUCAAGUAUACCUUGG